This 519-nucleotide ribosomal RNA is filed under the name uncultured bacterium. RNAcentral's name for it is "bacterial SSU rRNA". It matches the Rfam family "Bacterial small subunit ribosomal RNA", at positions 9 to 526 of the family's 1533-position model. The record is from RNAcentral.
GAGUUUGAUCCUGGCUCAGGAUGAACGCUGGCGGCGUGCUUAACACAUGCAAGUCGAACGAAGCACUUUAUUUGAUUUCCUUCGGGACUGAUUAUUUUGUGACUGAGUGGCGGACGGGUGAGUAACGCGUGGGUAACCUGCCUUGUACAGGGGGAUAACAGUUGGAGACGGCUGCUAAUACCGCAUAAGCGCACAGCAUCGCAUGAUGCAGUGUGAAAAACUCCGGUGGUAUAAGAUGGACCCGCGUUGGAUUAGCUAGUUGGUGAGGUAACGGCCCACCAAGGCGACGAUCCAUAGCCGACCUGAGAGGGUGACCGGCCACAUUGGGACUGAGACACGGCCCAAACUCCUACGGGAGGCAGCAGUGGGGAAUAUUGCACAAUGGGCGAAAGCCUGAUGCAGCGACGCCGCGUGAGCGAAGAAGUAUUUCGGUAUGUAAAGCUCUAUCAGCAGGGAAGAUAAUGACGGUACCUGACUAAGAAGCACCGGCUAAAUACGUGCCAGCCGCCGCGGUAAUAC